UGAGGAAUAUUGGUCAAUGGGCGAGAGCCUGAACCAGCCAAGUCGCGUGAGGGAUGACGGCCCUACGGGUUGUAAACCUCUUUUGCCGGGGAGCAAUGCUCCGCACGCGUGCGGAGCUGGAGAGUACCCGGAGAAAAAGCAUCGGCUAACUCCGUGCCAGCAGCCGCGGUAAUACGGAGGAUGCGAGCGUUAUCCGGAUUUAUUGGGUUUAAAGGGUGCGUAGGCGGAACGCCAAGUCAGCGGUAAAAAUUCGGGGCUCAACCCCGUCGUGCCGUUGAAACUGGUGUCCUUGAGUGGGCGAGAAGUAUGCGGAAUGCGUGGUGUAGCGGUGAAAUGCAUAGAUAUCACGCAGAACUCCGAUUGCGAAGGCAGCAUACCGGCGCCCGACUGACGCUGAAGCACGAAAGCGUGGGUAUCGAACAGG
This 424-nucleotide ribosomal RNA is filed under the name uncultured bacterium. Its description in RNAcentral is "bacterial SSU rRNA". It matches the Rfam family "Bacterial small subunit ribosomal RNA", at positions 355 to 776 of the family's 1533-position model. The record is from RNAcentral.